Long non-coding RNA from Xiphophorus hellerii (green swordtail), 5135 nucleotides. RefSeq lists it as uncharacterized. The transcript has 3 exons. Lineage: Eukaryota; Metazoa; Chordata; Actinopteri; Cyprinodontiformes; Poeciliidae. The record is from RefSeq and is a predicted model, not a curated record.
AUUCUCCACAUUAUUUAUUAAAGGCUUUCAAAGGAAACGGAAGUUUAAAAAGGCGCAAAAACUGAACAGAUUUAAAAAGAAACAAAAAUAGCAGGAAUAAAUAGAAUGUUUGUGGUGAGACAAGAAUAUUAAGAAGUAAAGAUUUGUUUGUUUCAUUCAUGUCUCAAAGUGCUGCAGGGUGCGUGUGUGUGUGUGCGUGCGUGUGUGUGUGUGUGUGUGUGUGUGUGUGUGGGCGUGUGUGUGUGUGUGUGUGUGAGAGAGCAGCGCAGCCUGUUGCUUUCGGGACGUUUCUGCUCUUUAGAUUGUGACAGUGCGUCCUCUCGCGGUGACAGCCUCAUUAUUCUGACUGUUGGCUCCGAAACGCGCAGCACGCGGCGCGCGCGGCCCGGACGCGCUGAGGGCCGCGAGCCAAGACCUUUCAUCAGAUUUCAUUUCUUUAGAUGUUACAGAAACGUGAACAAUUAUUAACAGAAUAGUUUGUGGCUCUGUUAAUAUUUCUGCUGCAGUCACGGCUUCAUUUUAAACACUGAAGAGAAAAAGUUCAAAAUACAAAAUAUAACAUUUGGAGAAAAAAACACAACUUGUAUGAUCUAAUCUUAUUUAUCACCUUAAAAAUAAAUUCAGGUUCAUUUUCAGAUUAAAAGUUACAUUAAUAAAUAAUCUUUAAGCAGGAAUUAAAUAUAUUUUCUUUCUAUUAAUUUCAGUUUUAUUAAAUGGAAAUAAUAUUCAGAUGCUGAAUUUCUUGUUUACAUUUGUUGUAAGCAGAAAAUCAUCUCGUGCGUUUUAGUCUCUAUUACAUCGAUACUGUAGUAGUAGUGGAAAUGUGUGUGUGUGUGGGGGGGGGGGGGGGGGGGGGGGGGGGGCAUCGACGCCACUGGAUGUGACGUCACUGUAAAGCCAGGAAAUGAACCCGCACAGGGCGCGCAGCUCGGUGGGUAAAAGCAGUCGGGGGCGCGCACGCCCUUGCUGUGCAGCGGCGUCGGAAGCAGCAGCAGCAGCUGCUGCAGCUGCUGCAGCAUCCAUGAGGCUGCUGGAUCAGCGGGGAGCCGCACAGGGGAAUUCAUGAGCUACAUGCGCUCAAGCAAAAAAACAACCAAGAAUUGCACAAGUCGGCCUGCCGCUAUGAUCAGACCUCAUUUGGAUCAAACGGAACCAGUCAGAACUGUUCCCGCUCUGCCCCGAACGCCUCACUGCGCUUCAGGGUUUUAAUCCACUUAGUUUAAUAUUGGGGAGGAAGAGGAGAGGAAGAGGAGCAAACCGGAACCUGAAUCUGGUUCAGAGUCCGAACCGGACAAAGCAGCAGCCCGGCGGGAAAAUAACAACUAUAACCAUAACAACAAUAACAAUAAUAAUAAAAAUAAUAACAACAAUAAUAAUAAUAACAAUAAUAAUAAUAAUAAUACAGACUGAGUUUUAUUUCUCUUGGUUCGGGUGAACAGAACCAGUCCGGAACCAGGCCUGUUCUGUACCAGGAUGAUUUUCUUUUAAAAAUGAAAAUCAAACUGAAAUAUCUCCAGUUUUUUUCCUUUGUGUUUUGUAAAAAAAUAAAAUAAAAAUAAUAAUAAUAAUAAUAAUAAUAAUAAAGACUCAGUAUUAAAUGAAUCCCUGAGCAGAAUGUGAGCAGAGCUGCAGUCACAGUUCUGGGUCCAGUCGCGGUUCUGAUGACGCAGAUUAUUUCUGCCUGAUUAUGUCAAACAUCUCUGAUUAAAAUCAAAACAUUUUUUUUUUUUUUUUGCUCUGCGGCUCAGAGUUUAAGAUUGGAACAGAUUAUUCUGCUGCCAGUGAGAGGAUCAAAUAUUUUAGAUUAGGUCUCGCCUACAUGUGUGUGUGUGUGUGUGUGUGUGUGUGUGUGUGUGUUUAUCCCUAAACAUCAUUGUUUCCUUAUAAACAAAAAUUAAAUUACAACAAAAGGAUAAUAAAUUAAAUGAUAAACAGUGUGAAUUAAAUUCAGCAGCCAGUGAGAUAAACGUGUGAAUAUUUGGAGGUUCGGUGUGAGACGGGAGGUUCUGGGUGUCUCGGUGCUGCCGGGGUCUCCGUGUGUCAGAUUUCUGCUGCUUUCUCAUUUCUGCCAAAACAAAGUGGCAGAAGAGCCUGACUAAUAUGUGGCUUUCAGCCUGACAGCAGGACGAAAUUUAGAAAAACAGAAAAAUGGCGCUAAGACGUUGUUUGCGGAAUGUUUCCAGGAGCUGCGGCGCGUCGAAGCGGAGCGGGCCGCAGGUGAAGCCGGCCGCCGGCUGCAGGCUGCCGGCUGCGGGUCAGGCUGCCAGGCUGCACCGGCGCUGCACGCAUGUCGAAACCGCUGCAGCUCCCCGCAGGUAAUCUAUUUGUUACAUCACUGAGUCAUUUGUCACCUCGCUGCUCUUUUCAAGAAAAAGGAGCUGUUAUUCUCUCCGGCAUGUGAACAGAAGCUGCUUCUUAGAACAAAACGAGGGCGUCAAAUUCUGCUGCUGAAACCUGAAAGCAGAACUUCGGUUCCUAGAAUGAUUUAAACUGAGAACAAAAAACAUUCUUCGAGUGUAAAAAGGGAAAAAAUAGAGCAGUUAGUGUUUUCUGUCAUUCUUUCCUACACUGACGUGAAAAGGGAAAAUGGUGAGCCGGUCGGCCGAGUUGUGAUGCUUAUCAGCGUCUGUAUCGCUGCUCGCCAGACGCGCUGAUGUAAUCUGUCAGCCGCCGUGCGGGGCCUCUUCACCUUCAUUCAGCUCAUUGCUGACUUUUAAGAGGAUGGGCUUCCAUUUAGAAAUUCACUCUCAAUUUAAAUACUGAAUUAAAAAAAAUAAAAAUAAAAAAAACUCCCAGCAGCUGAAAACCGGCACCGACCGGCCGGCUGGCGGCUCCGUACUCAGCGUCAAAUAUUUAAUAAUAAUUAAAUCUAAUUUGGGAGAUUUUAUUUUUUUCAGGCAGAAUUAAAUAAAUAAAAAAAAUAGAAAAAUGCGCGCCGCAUCUCCUCCCUGAUGCUGCCCUCAUUUCUGCGCCAUAUCGAUGCAGAGAGCGGACUGAGAUGGAGGAAGAACAGCCGCCGGCAAGGUAAUCAGAUCGAUUUCACGGCUGGAGCGGCUCCGCGGCCGGAACCGCCGCCAUCAGCCUGAGCGGCAGCAGCACCACCAGAUAUUUAUCUCUUCAUACUCGGGGAAGCUGCCAUGUCAAACAAACCCAGGAUGGACCCUCAGCCGGGUAUCCAGGAACCCCCUUCCUCUUCCUCUUCCUCUUCCUCUUCCUCUUCCUGCCUGAGCAGAAUAAUCCAGGACCGGUUGGAGUCCAGAGAGUUUCAUGGACGGAGGGAAACAAAGGCUCUCUAAGGCUGACUGUGGCCCUGGGCAGAAUCUCAUCUGGGGCCCCACCUCCAGCUCUGUCCGUGUAAUUACACUGUAAAAAACAUUUGUUGUUUUUACACCUCAUUUUACAGUAACUAACGUUUCCUCAGCCUUUCUGUUCUCUGGAUAAUCUGUUAACUCUUUAAACUGUUUCAUUAAAAUAAAAAAACUGGCCUUGAUUCUUUUAUUCUAACAGGAACCUGAUGAAAUCACAGAAGUGUUUUUACCCAUUAAGCUUUCAGAUGAGUUGGAAGACGGACUGCUACUGGAGAUCCUGUCAUAAACAACGACUCUGAAGAAACUUGGAUGAUAAAAACUACGACAACAUUUACAUUUACUGAAGUAUCUUUAAACUGAUUUGUGGAAUCCUCUUUAGAAAUCUAACAAAAAUGUUAUAAGUUGUGAUUAUUUAAUUUGCCAUAACUACAAAUAAUUAGGAAAAACAUUUAUUUACUAUAAAUGUGUGAAGAUGCAUAGACAGUUUUGAUUUUUUUGAUUUGAUUGAACUUUUAUCAAUCAGCAGAUUUUAUUUAUAUAAUGUUAAAUUGCAUCAAUGUGAAAAGACAUUAAAUAUUGUUUAAUUUUAACAAUGCAGAGUCAGCUAUUUAUUAAUAUUAUAAAGGAUUUAUUAAUAAUUGCUGUCCCAGUAUCCUGAUAUGACCAAAAUGAAACUCUUUCAGUUUCUGGUGAAUAAAUUCAUCAACAUGUUUUACAGAUUAUGAAUCAGUUUUAAUAAAUCCUUUCUGAUGGAUUCACUUCCUGUAUAAAUGUUUUCAGUGGAUUAUCAGCCCCCCCUGGACACGCCCCUGCUGAUUUGUGUCAGGUUUUCCUCCCGCAUGGCGCCGGGUAGAGGAGGGCUGUCGGGUUCAGACCCCCGCUCCCUUUUUAACUGUCAAUGAGGCAAAGAUCAGGUUGCAGCGGGCCGGGGUCUCCCGGACCGGACCGGAACCCGAACCGGAUCAGGAGGAAACCUCCACAAACUCCCGGUUACUUCCGAAACUGAAGCUCGUUUUGUUUUUCUUCAGGUGUUUCCUGACAGGAUGGAGAGCAGAAACUGGUUCUGACGGACUUCCGGUGAAGUGAAAACUGGACAGUUUCCUCUGAACGCGGAAGAAAUGCGGGUCUUUAACUUUAUCAUGACUAACUGAGCCACAGCCUGAAUGUUAUUGAUCUUCAUCAGGCUGAUCAAUUGAACCCAUCGCCUCCUGAUUGGAGGGGAAAGCAGCGCAGAACCCGCUGCGGAACUUUUCAAACUGGGCGCUAAAGAAACGCUUUAACUCCCGCCUGACGCUGCGGGAUGAACCGCAGCUUCACCGCAGGCUGCCGGUGUGCGGGAGCGGCUGAGUGACGCUCUGUCUGCGGGAUCAUGUUUAAUCCCCGCCUGUUCACAACUCAUUUCUGCACACAGAAGCGCAGAGAUGGGGACUCAGAUGGUUGCCGGGGCAACCGCGUUAGGACUGACGGAGCCGUUUCCCUGAACGGAGGCAAUCUGCAGCAGAGGUCGUCACAAAGUCAUUCCUGAUUACUUUCCUCUUUCCUGGAGCUUCUCGGCUGCAGCUCAGCAUCCAACAGUUCAUUCAGUUCACUAAUUCAGUUCACUCGUUCAGUUCACAGGUGCAAAUCCUGCAUGUGACGUCACGUGGAUCCGUUCCUCGCAGAUCCGAGUUUCAGGUGUUUUUUUUCUGUUCAUGUUUCUGAUGAUUCCUUCAGAUUCAGAUCUGAAAUGACUCUGUUAUGUUUCUGAUUUUACACGGAAUCAGUAAGUCACGUUGUUGCUUGGAUUUUACGGCGCCACGUUCAGGCCCUGAACUUCACAUUUUAACG